GACGAACGCUGGCGGCGUGCUUAACACAUGCAAGUCGAACGGAAAGGCCCUGCUUUUGUGGGUUUCUCGAUUGGCGAACGGGUGAGUAACACGUGAGUAACCUGCCCUUGACUUUCUGGUAACUUCAGGAAACUGGGGCUAAUACCGGAUAGGAUCUCCUGCUGCAUGGUGGGGGUUGGAAAGUUUCGGCGGUUGGGGAUGGACUCGCUGCUUAUCAGCUUGUUGGUGGGGUAGGGGCUUACCAAGGGUUUGACGGGUAGCCGGCAUGAGAGGGUGAACGGCGACAUUGGGCCUGCGAGACGGACCAGACGCCUAUGUGAGGCAGUAGUGGGGAAUAUUGCAGAAUGGCGGGACGCCUGAGGCAGCAACGCCGCGUGCGUGAUGCCGGCCUUCGGGUUAUAAACAGCUUUCGACUGUGACGAAGAGUGAGUGACGGUAAUGGGUAAAGAAGCAACGGCUAACUACGUG
RNAcentral lists this ribosomal RNA (468 nucleotides) under uncultured bacterium. Its description in RNAcentral is "partial 16S ribosomal RNA". It matches the Rfam family "Bacterial small subunit ribosomal RNA", at positions 28 to 507 of the family's 1533-position model. The record is from RNAcentral.